GAUGAACGCUGGCGGCGUGCCUAAUACAUGCAAGUCGAGCGAACGGACGAGAAGCUUGCUUCUCUGAUGUUAGCGGCGGACGGGUGAGUAACACGUGGAUAACCUACCUAUAAGACUGGGAUAACUUCGGGAAACCGGAGCUAAUACCGGAUAAUAUUUUGAACCGCAUGGUUCAAAAGUGAAAGACGGUCUUGCUGUCACUUAUAGAUGGUUCCGCGCUGCAUUAGCUAGUUGGUAAGGUAACGGCUUACCAAGGCAACGAUGCAUAGCCGACCUGAGAGGAUGAUCGGCCACACUGGAACUGAGACACGGUCCAGACUCCUACGGGAGGCAGCAGUAGGGAAUCUUCCGCAAUGGGCGAAAGCCUGACGGAGCAACGCCGCGUGAGUGAUGAAGGUCUUCGGAUCGUAAAACUCUGUUAUUAGGGAAGAACAUAUGUGUAAGUAACUGUGCACAUCUUGACGGUACCUAAUCAGAAAGCCACGGCUAACUACGUG
Molecule: ribosomal RNA, 497 nt
Filed under: uncultured bacterium
Lineage: Bacteria
Description: partial 16S ribosomal RNA
Rfam family: Bacterial small subunit ribosomal RNA
Source: RNAcentral